This 87-nucleotide transfer RNA is filed under the name Deltaproteobacteria bacterium. RNAcentral describes it as "tRNA-Leu". It matches the Rfam family "tRNA". From Rfam's summary of the family: Transfer RNA (tRNA) molecules are approximately 80 nucleotides in length. Their secondary structure includes four short double-helical elements and three loops (D, anti-codon, and T loops). Lineage: Bacteria; Pseudomonadati; Myxococcota; Myxococcia. The record is from RNAcentral.
GCCCGGGUGGUGAAAUUGGUAAACACAAGGGACUUAAAAUCCCUCGGGUCUAAAACGCCCUUGCCGGUUCGAGUCCGGCCCCGGGCA